This 219-nucleotide ribosomal RNA is filed under the name Triticum aestivum (bread wheat). Its description in RNAcentral is "partial small subunit ribosomal RNA". The record is from RNAcentral. Lineage: Eukaryota; Viridiplantae; Streptophyta; Magnoliopsida; Poales; Poaceae.
UUUGUGCUCCUGGUCUUUUUUGUCGAUAGUACAUCCACAAAGCAGCAAUUUCACGAAUUGUCUUGUAGGGGAUGUGUCCUUGGCCACAGUGUGUUCAAUGAUCUUAGGCUCUCACCCGUUGGGUGGAGCGGCUCAUGUAGCUUUUUGAAAGCUUUGAGAUUAGUCCAGUUUGUGCAGGUUUGGUCUUCUAUUGUUUCUCCGCCAGAUGGUUGGAGAUAA